Molecule: long non-coding RNA, 1657 nt
Filed under: Homo sapiens (human)
Lineage: Eukaryota; Metazoa; Chordata; Mammalia; Primates; Hominidae
Description: HSALNT0192702
Source: RNAcentral
CACUGACUAACUGAGGUCCAGCUCCCUAGAAAACAGACUCAGAUGUAGAUUGCAUGCAGGAAGUUUUUUGGGAAGUACCAACAGGACAAACCUGUGACAGAGUAAUGAAACCAGAAGUGAGUGAACAGGAGAAAUUGAACGGUGAUGUAAUUGAAAUGAAGACCUCAGCUGCUAUCUGAGGGAGCUCUGGAGCUGAAAUGACCCUUCAGGGUUGUCCUGAAUUGAGAUGACGAAAUUGAAGCGCAGAGACAUCAAGUAAUGUUCAAGAUUACACAAUCAGUGAGUGACAGGAUUGAGCUCCAAAUUCAGUUUAACCUCAGAUCCCACAUCCUUAUCCACCAAACCACAAGGCUCUCGUGAACAGCAGAAGCACCUGGAUCUUGAAGAGAACAGAUCUUGAGAGAACUUAAGGAGAGGCAUAAAAGACCAAAGAGAUUGCUGAGACUGUAAGAAAGCAGUCUCUGAGCGUGACACUGUGCUGUUGACACAGAGUAACAGAAGACAUGACUGUGAUUAUUAAACAAAGCCUUUUAUGGCCAACGACUUACAAAGGAGUCACAAAUCUCUGUUAAUUAUAUAAUAAGUGCAUUUCUAAAAGCCUCCUAUGAAUGAACCAGUGGAGAUCAAUUAAAGGGAUAACAGUUUACUCUUUGCUUAUUAAGUUACUAUCAGCAAAAACAAGGAAACAAAAAAAAAGAAAAUGGACUUUUGUCCAUGGAGGGUAUUAAAACUUUAUGCAUCUUUACAGUCAUAGAAAAUUUCACAAAUUAUUACACUUAGGAUUUUUGGGGAUUAGCACAUGCACUAAAUGAGAUGCAGUGGAAAAGUGACACAGGGGAAAGCCUGAAAGUCAUGUGCCUAUUAGGGCCCUGAAUCAUCAUCCUGGCAAGAAUGUGAAGGGGCCGAUUGCUACACAUCCUCUUACUUUUUAUUUUUUAUUUUUACGGGCCAAGUAGAGAGAUAAAUGUUUGUAUAAAGAAAAAGAAUUGAAUGGCAAUUCAGAUAUAAUGUCCCAUUUGGUCUUUUUAGAAGGAAAGUGUUACACAUAAAAAGGUAGGUAGUUCCCUGUAUGUUCUAUGAUUUGAGACACACCCAAAGGGGUGCCUGCUUUCUAACUAAAAAAUAUGUGUCCCACUGAUUGAGGCAUCUGAAAUUCACAUUAUCACCUACCACUUUAGGCUUAUAGCAUGGAAAGGAAGACUCUAGGUCUGUUGGAAAAUGGGGCCACGGUAAACCAGGAAGAGGGAGCCUGGGCAGUGAGAGAGUGUUCAGUAUUCAAAAGAUGACACAGAAAGGUCAGCAAGGGGCAAAUGGAAAGGCACAAAAAAUAGCUUUAAGAAUUUGGCCCAAAGGAAAUGAGAGUUCGAUAUUUUCUAUCAGUGAGUAAGAUAUUACUCACUGAAUUGGUCAUUUUUGGCAUCAAUUAUUUUUGAUGCUUACUGAGUUGUGUUUUGUGUAUUUAUUAUAAACGCUCUGUUUCUUUUUGGAAACUGAUUUUGUCAUUUGGCUCCUUUCCAGAUCAGUUUCCUUCCAAUCACCAUUAAUGGGUAUUGAUUGAAUGUGACAAUUUUAGCCUCAGAUGGACUAAAUGCCUUAAUAGAGAGAGAUUUAUAUGCAAGAUCUAUUUUUACCUAAAUCUUUAGGGUUUGGUUCAGAC